GGGGAUUUAGCUCAGUGGUAGAGUGCUUGCCUAGCAAGCGCAAGGCCCUGGGUUCAUUCCCCA
Molecule: transfer RNA, 63 nt
Filed under: Rattus norvegicus (Norway rat)
Lineage: Eukaryota; Metazoa; Chordata; Mammalia; Rodentia; Muridae
Rfam family: tRNA
About the family: Transfer RNA (tRNA) molecules are approximately 80 nucleotides in length. Their secondary structure includes four short double-helical elements and three loops (D, anti-codon, and T loops). Further hydrogen bonds mediate the characteristic L-shaped molecular structure. tRNAs have two regions of fundamental functional importance: the anti-codon, which is responsible for specific mRNA codon recognition, and the 3' end, to which the tRNAs corresponding amino acid is attached (by aminoacyl-tRNA synthetases). tRNAs cope with the degeneracy of the genetic code in two manners: having more than one tRNA (with a specific anti-codon) for a particular amino acid; and 'wobble' base-pairing, i.e. permitting non-standard base-pairing at the 3rd anti-codon position.
Source: Rfam by way of RNAcentral